Molecule: long non-coding RNA, 431 nt
Filed under: Olea europaea subsp. europaea
Lineage: Eukaryota; Viridiplantae; Streptophyta; Magnoliopsida; Lamiales; Oleaceae
Source: RNAcentral
CUUCGUCUUCUUUACCUGUUCAUCUGUGUCUUCAUCUUCAACGCUCUUCGACAUCAUUCAACUGCGUCACUAGGCCUGGACCCUUAACCUACAACCUGCAAAGCCGACCCAAUCCGAAUAAGAAUCGGGAAACCCUAUUUUGUGAUAACUCUGUGUGCUCAAACGUGAAGACCCUUCAUUCUCUUAGAGGUUCAAAAGCUUGCCUCCCUUGUCUCUCUGGAAAAAUUGGUGGUCAUCAAUUUGAAGGACAUCCCUUGUUACUGUCUUUCAAGGCAAUCUCUUAACUUUCUCAUAGUUUGAAAAUAAUUUAUUGGAUUUUGCCUCCAGUAUCGUUCCUAUUCAGACUACUCUUCUUGAGAAAAUGGUGGUUAUUUCUUUAGUUUUACUUGGUUCUCCAACUCUUUCUCUAUCGACUUCGAUUUGUGCAGUCC